RNAcentral lists this ribosomal RNA (391 nucleotides) under Theileria annulata. RNAcentral describes it as "SSU rRNA". It matches the Rfam family "Eukaryotic small subunit ribosomal RNA", at positions 477 to 911 of the family's 1831-position model. Lineage: Eukaryota; Apicomplexa; Aconoidasida; Piroplasmida; Theileriidae. The record is from RNAcentral.
ACAAUACGGGGCUUAAAGUCUUGUAAUUGGGAUGAUGGGAAUUUAAACCUCUUCCAGAGUAUCAAUUGGAGGGCAAGUCUGGUGCCAGCAGCCGCGGUAAUUCCAGCUCCAAUAGCGUAUAUUAAAAUUGUUGCAGUUAAAAAGCUCGUAGUUGAAUUUCUGCUGCAUUGCUUGUGUUCCUCUGGGGUCUGUGCAUGUGGCUUUUUUCGGACGGAGUUUCUUUGUCUGAAUGUUUACUUUGAGAAAAUUAGAGUGCUCAAAGCAGGCUUUCGCCUUGAAUAGUUUAGCAUGGAAUAAUAAAGUAGGACUUUGGUUCUAUUUUGUUGGUUUUAGGUACCAAAGUAAUGGUUAAUAGGAACAGUUGGGGGCAUUCGUAUUUAACUGUCAGAGG